UGGGAAUCUCCAUGUCAGCUGACUUCCCUCUGAGAAUGAGAGAGCAACCAAAAUGGAAGCUGUCAUGCCCCUUGAAGCCUGAUGGACCAUCAUUGCUGCUCUACUAUUCAUCAUAGAGAUCAAUUCUGGAACAGUGUGACGAGAACUACAUAAGGUGUGAUUACUGGAAAGCAGGAAUCACUGUGGCCAUUGUGGAGGAUGGUUACCACAAUAAUUUAGAAUGGAAAAAAUAAUCCAUGUAAGGGGCUGGGUUACCUAAUUUGCCCAUCCAUCCAUCCAUCCAUCCCCCCAUUCACUCAUUCACUCUAUGCGUAUAGAAACCCAUAAGCUCCAGUUGUUGGUGUUGAAACCCACAAUUCUAGUUUACACCGAUAUUUGACAUUCAGGAGCAAAGAAUACCCUGUCAGCCCUGGGAGCCAGGAAGUAAGGCCAUUGCCAGUCCAGGUCCCCAUCAGCCUCCACUGCCCAGAAGGUUGUUGGUGCAUAAGACAGGAAGCUUCCAAGAGAAGGCUGAGGCCUGGUUGUCAGAAUUGAAAUAAGAGUCACAGAGGAACCAGUUCUGAAGGAUGAUGCUGUCCUUUACACAAAACCCAACCACACCUAAAUCUCCUCUGAAAGAGGACCAGAUUGGUGCUGGAUGUUGUGUCUCAGACGUAGGUAGGGGAAAUUUAGGGACAGGAACUAGGGUUGGUAGCUGGAAGGAAAGUUGCAAAAUGUCAAAAAGUUUGUCUUUGGUGUCAACUCAUUGCUUAGAUCCUGUCCUGCUGCUUUGGUGUCUUCAACUAACUGACUCCAAGUUCCUUGGAGCAUCCCUCCUGACCUUCCUACUUUCUACUGUUGAUGCACUCAGGCUCAGCCCAUUGCUUAGGGUUUGUCCUGCUGCAAACUCUAUGGCCAUGGUCCAGUCUCAAGAAUUUACUGGAGCUGAUUCUUUGGGACAGAAAAACAAGGAAAUAAAGACUCAUGGAAAAGUCAAGUUUGGGUGUACUGUGGUCAUUGAAUUCACCCUGUAAGGACUCAGUCUUUGGUAAUGUAACCAAUUUGUCAACACCAGUGUGCAAAAUCAAAGUUCUAUAACUGUUAGAUCAGCCUAACUUUGUAGGAAACAGUGGCUGCUUUGGCGGUGGACAAGGGGGCACUACCUCUCUGACUCUCAUCAGUACGCCCAAGGAACCUCCCCACUGAGCACCAAGGAUUGGAUGCAACCAGGAAGAGGCAGCUCUUCCUUUCCUAGUGAUAUCCAUUGACAUCUGCUACUGCUCCCACCGACAGGACAAUCUGAUGAGGGUUGUGUAUGUGCCAGGUGCCCCACUCUACCUCAUGACAUCAAGAGUGUCCACAAUGACCUAAAGUCACAGAACCAGUAACAAGCAUUUUUCAGAGACUAUAUCACUUCUCCAAAGUCACAUGGCCACAGGUGAUGGAAGCCCAGUGUACUUGACUUCCAAACCCCUGGUUUUACAACUGGAUUCAAAUACCUGUAGUGUGGAGUUCCUUAUUCAAAUCUCUGAAGGGUCAUAAACUUGUGUAAGGACCAGUUCCCCAGCCUCUCUGGCUCUGCUUCUUUUUCCUCCUAAGUUUCUGCUCUAUAUGUCACUGUAAAGGACUUUCCUUCCAAAAGGAGGUUGGUGGAGAGCAAAAUCUGAGAUAUUAAGAAAUUGAAAUCAGGGGAACUGGGAAAUAGCCCAAAAUGAAAUUCAAGAAUUUAAGGCUUCAGACCAGGUAGGAAGCAUG
This 1734-nucleotide long non-coding RNA is filed under the name Marmota monax (woodchuck). Lineage: Eukaryota; Metazoa; Chordata; Mammalia; Rodentia; Sciuridae. The record is from RNAcentral.